Molecule: small nuclear RNA, 103 nt
Organism: Perognathus longimembris pacificus (Pacific pocket mouse)
Lineage: Eukaryota; Metazoa; Chordata; Mammalia; Rodentia; Heteromyidae
Source: RefSeq, a predicted model, not a curated record
UUGUGUUCACUUUGACAGCUUUAAAAUUGGAACAACACAGAGAAGAUUAGCAUGGCACUGGCACAAAGAUGGCACACAAAUUCGUGAAGCAUUUCAUAUUAAA